Long non-coding RNA from Equus caballus (horse), 1770 nucleotides. RefSeq lists it as uncharacterized. The record is from RefSeq and is a predicted model, not a curated record. NCBI's taxonomy places the organism in Eukaryota, Metazoa, Chordata, Mammalia, Perissodactyla, Equidae.
GCGGCUUUGAAGAAUACAGUGUAGCGGAAGCGAUUGCCUGCGAGGACUUAACUGGAAAUUGGGAAGUGGCAAGGCAUGAUGGACAGCUCGCCGUGGAGGAGGCGGGGCUUCGUUCCUAACCAGAGGGUCGCCCAUCCUACACCGAGGCCUAAGGUAGAAUGCCUCUGAAGUCAACACACCCCUGAAAUCGCUGAAAUGGCCUGCACAGGACGGAUGACACGGCUGUGUGCAGACUGUGCUCUCAUCUUACAAGCCCAGCACAGUCGGAUAUGUCCCUGUGUUGGAACGAAUCGCCAUUUCUUCGGUUGAAAGCAAGAUGCAGGAAUUGCGUGCAUCAGGGCCUAGCUGCCCAUGUUGGACGAGCCAGUUUGCCCUGAACAUCACCCGAGCACACCCUGCUCUCCUACGCCUCUGGGCUUCGGAACAAGACAAGCCACCCCUGGUCUGUUCUUGGAAAACACUGACUGCCUCAUCUUCAAGGUUCAGGAUGGACAUCGCCGCCCACGGAUGAGCAGCUGCGUCCUCGGGCUCCUGCAGUGCCCACUGUGACUUCUGUCAGGUACACCUCUCCCUCCAGGGCAUCUCUGGGGUGCCAGCUUCCUAACAACUCUUCCCAGGCCGCCCACGGGCCUGCCCUGUGCUGGGCUGAGGGAGCCCACACAGCACCAGCCCAGCCCGAGAAGUCUGGGAAGGCUUUCCGCAGCCUCUGUGCUGAGGGUAAGGGGUGAGCAGGGUUGGCCAGCCCAGUAAGGGUGAAAGGACAUUUCAGCCAAGGGAACAGCAUAUGCAAAGGGAGAGGAGGGCAGGGAAGCAGAGCAGGCGAGCAGGAGGAGGCGCUAAAGCGGAAGCAUAGAAUUCUGUCAGAUGAGGCUGGAGAAACAGGAUCUCGGACGCCAGGCUGCGAGCAAGAGAGGAGCAGAGCCAGCUCUGGGGUUCUCGGGGAUAGGCUGGAGGAGACCAAAUGGGAGGCUGGGGAGAGGGUCUGAGCUGGGGCUGGGACAGAAGGGCGGAGACAGGCCCAGAGAUUCAGGGAGCAGGGAGGAGGGGCUGGAAACUGACAGACUGGGGGGCAGGGCAAGGGACACUUCUGGGGGUCUGGCCAGUGACUGGGGGGACACCAGGGGCCAUCCAGAGAUGGAGAAGCUGGAGGAGGAGCGGGUGAGAGGGAGACGCCAUGCUCUGCCUGGCCCAGCCGGCCACUCCAGGCUGAGCGCGGAGCACUCAGGCUGAUGGUGGAGAGCUGCUUGUGGGACCCACAGAAGUGCAGGAGCUCUCCAGGGAGGAAGAAAGAGGCACAUGCACCCUGCAGCGAAAUCGGCCUCCCAGGGCCGGAUCUGGGCGCCCAUCCUGAGCUGGGAACUCAGGAGGAGACGGCAGCUUCGGGGAAGAUGGAUGCUGAGCUCAGUGGGGGCGCAGUGCAUGUGGGAAGGGCACCUCCGGGGAGCAGGUGGGGACAGGGGUUUGGAGACUGGGAGAGGGGCCUGCAGUGGAGACAGAGAUCGUAGAGUGACUGACGCACAGGAGGGAACAAGUGUGCAUGGGGAACAGGGGGCAGCUGGAGGGAGGCUGGGGAGGGCCCACAGUGAAGGGCUGGAUGCUCAGCCAGGGCAUGGGAAACCAUUUAUAGAUGCACUAAAUUCAUUAGUGAACUGGGUGGUUGUUUUUGGUGGGUUUUUUUUUGGUGAGGAAGAUUGGCCCUGAGCGCACAUCUGUUGCCAACGUUCCUCUUUUUUUUUUUUUCUUCCCAAAGCCCCAGUAUGUAGUGUUAUA